This 466-nucleotide ribosomal RNA is filed under the name uncultured bacterium. RNAcentral describes it as "partial 16S ribosomal RNA". It matches the Rfam family "Bacterial small subunit ribosomal RNA", at positions 28 to 507 of the family's 1533-position model. The record is from RNAcentral.
GACGAACGCUGGCGGCGUGCUUAACACAUGCAAGUCGAACGGAAAGGCCCUGCUUGCAGGGUACUCGAGUGGCGAACGGGUGAGUAACACGUGGGUGAUCUGCCCUGCACUUCGGGAUAAGCUUGGGAAACUGGGUCUAAUACCGGAUAGGAGCCAUCUUUAGUGUGGUGGUUGGAAAGUUUUUUCGGUGUAGGAUGAGCUCGCGGCCUAUCAGCUUGUUGGUGGGGUAAUGGCCUACCAAGGCGGCGACGGGUAGCCGGCCUGAGAGGGUGUACGGCCACAUUGGGACUGAGAUACGGCCCAGACUCCUACGGGGGGCAGCAGUGGGGAAUAUUGCACAAUGGGCGCAAGCCUGAUGCAGCGACGCCGCGUGGGGGAUGAAGGCCUUCGGGUUGUAAACUCCUUUCGCUAGGGACGAAGCUUUUUUGUGACGGUACCUAGAUAAGAAGCACCGGCUAACUACGUG